GACGUAGGGCGCGAGCGUUGUCCGGAUUUAUUGGGCGUAAAGAGCUCGUAGGCGGCUUGUUGCGUCGACCGUGAAAACCCGGGGCUCAACUUCGGGCUUGCGGUCGAUACGGGCGGGCUAGAGUUCGGUAGGGGAGACUGGAAUUCCUGGUGUAGCGGUGAAAUGCGCAGAUAUCAGGAGGAACACCGGUGGCGAAAGCGGGUCUCUGGGCCGAUACUGACGCUGAGGAUCGAAAGCGUGGGGAGCGAACAGG
This 253-nucleotide ribosomal RNA is filed under the name uncultured bacterium. Its description in RNAcentral is "partial 16S ribosomal RNA". It matches the Rfam family "Bacterial small subunit ribosomal RNA", at positions 524 to 776 of the family's 1533-position model. The record is from RNAcentral.